CAGACUGAUCGCAUAGCUCACAUUCAAAAGCCAAGAACCAGAAUCGCAUGGUUUAUUUUAAGACACAAGAAGAGUAAAAAGCAGAUUGAAAACCAUACGACAUUCUGGCAGCUGAAGCUCUGAAAACAACGGUGGCAUUUGCAGAGUUCUUCGUGUCUUCUCAAACGUGGUUGCAGUUUUAAUCUUCUUCCUGAUUCUGAUGAGUUACCUCAGCUGAGACUCGUUGCUCACUGUGAAGGCUGCUAAUGGCUGCUCUGAGCCUGGGUGUGUCAGAACAGAGGAUCCCUUCUAAAUCCAAGGCUGGGUCUUCCCACUCUAGCACUUCUCCCCCCAGUUCUAGAUGACGGCUGACAGACUGCCUUAAUUGAAACCAAAACCAAAGACCACCACAGAAAAGAUAAGUUCAUGAAAGCAAAUAUUCAUGCAGACCUUCAGCUGGAACUUAAUUUAUGAAAUAACCUCUCAGAUUAUUAGUGUGUUGUGAGCAUGCUUGUUUUUCACUCCCAUGCUUUGUCACUGUAGAGACAUGAAAAUGCUAUUCAUUGUUGCUAGGAGAUGGGUGGCUAUGGCAACAGCAUGG
Molecule: long non-coding RNA, 580 nt
Filed under: Cricetulus griseus (Chinese hamster)
Lineage: Eukaryota; Metazoa; Chordata; Mammalia; Rodentia; Cricetidae
Description: lncRNA (ENSCGRG00015031231.1)
Source: RNAcentral